Long non-coding RNA from Nanorana parkeri, 584 nucleotides. RefSeq lists it as uncharacterized. The record is from RefSeq and is a predicted model, not a curated record. Lineage: Eukaryota; Metazoa; Chordata; Amphibia; Anura; Dicroglossidae. The transcript has 3 exons.
UGCAAGUACAAGCCAGGUACAGUCAGGUCUCCACAGUGCAAGCCUCUCUUUGCUGACCCAAACCCUGAGCUGAGCUGAGACCACAUGCCUAGGAGAUUCCCCGGCAGAUAAAGACUCUACCAUUCUAUACCUAUGACCAGCCAAUGGUCGGAUAUUGCCAGACCCACAAGACCCUCCUUGUAAAUAAGGGCUAUGAUGGGACAUCUCAAGAGCAAAGAGAAGCCACCAACCUAGAGCUUAGUAGGGACCAGAGCUACAUCUCGACAAUAGCUUGCUCAGCAGCACCUGCCAUAUACAUUGAAAGGAUACCAAACCAAUAACAUCUGGAGUCUUGGAUUGUGACAUUUGGAAGAAGUGCAUAGAGGACCUAUACAGAUCAAAGCUGAUAGGAGCACCUUGUAAAUGCUAUGUGCUCUUACAAUAAACAAGAGAAAAAAAAAAAUAAUAAUACACUAAGCUAAACAGCUUGAGCAUGGGACCCAUUUCAGCCUUCAGGGCCAUGGAACUUGAAACGAUGAUGUGAGAAAAGCAAGGGGUUUAUCUUGGCUUUAAAGGAUUAUGCAAACCCCACUGGUGUAUAAAAA